RNAcentral lists this unclassified non-coding RNA (309 nucleotides) under plant metagenome. Its description in RNAcentral is "partial contains 5.8S ribosomal RNA, internal transcribed spacer 2, and large subunit ribosomal RNA". The stretch from base 1 to 105 matches the Rfam family "5.8S ribosomal RNA", at positions 50 to 154 of the family's 154-position model. The record is from RNAcentral.
GAAAUGCGAUAAGUAGUGUGAAUUGCGGAAUUCAGUGAAUCAUCGAUUCUUUGAACGCACAUUGCGCCCCUUGGUAUUCCAUGGGGCAUGCCUGUUCGAGCGUCAUUUGUACCCUCAAGCUCUGCUUGGUGUUGGGUGUUUGUCCCGUCUCCGCGCGUGGACUCGCCCCAAAGUGAUUGGCAGCCGGCGUACUGGUCCCGGAGCGCAGCACAUGUCGCGCAAACGAGUGCCUUGGUACGGCGGCGUCCAUAAGCCCCUCUCUCACGCUCUUGACCUCGGAUCAGGUAGGGAUACCCGCUGAACUUAAGC